This 254-nucleotide ribosomal RNA is filed under the name uncultured bacterium. Its description in RNAcentral is "partial 16S ribosomal RNA". It matches the Rfam family "Bacterial small subunit ribosomal RNA", at positions 335 to 603 of the family's 1533-position model. The record is from RNAcentral.
AUGCCUACGGGGCGCAGCAGUGGGGAAUAUUGGGCAAUGGGCGCAAGCCUGACCCAGCAACGCCGCGUGAAGGAAGAAGGCUUUCGGGUUGUAAACUUCUUUUCUUGGGGACGAAGAAAGUGACGGUACCCAAGGAAUAAGCCACGGCUAACUACGUGCCAGCAGCCGCGGCAAUACGUAGGUGGCAAGCGUUAUCCGGAUUUAUUGGGUGUAAAGGGCGUGUAGGCGGGAUUGCAAGUCAGAUGGGAAAUCCA